This 423-nucleotide long non-coding RNA is filed under the name Cyanistes caeruleus (blue tit). RNAcentral's name for it is "lncRNA (ENSCCEG00000014674.1)". Lineage: Eukaryota; Metazoa; Chordata; Aves; Passeriformes; Paridae. The record is from RNAcentral.
CUUGUUUUUAAUGGACAGGAAUGUGGGACUGGAGCUGGAAUUCAUUCUGCCCCCUUCUGUUCUUCUCACAGGCACUUCUUCACUGCACUGAGGCAUCCCGAGAGCUUCUGCUGCUGAAGAUGAUACAGUCAGACAGGUUCCUCACAGCUGGAUCCUGUUCAGGUCGAUAUGGUCUGCUCUGAAUGACCCAAACAGAAUUGACUUUUCACUAAAAAAUAAAUCACAGAGCUGGUGUAUGGCCACAAGAACUUUGUUGCAGACUGGAUUCAAGAAGAUCUUUGGGUCUUCUAGCAACAAUUCUUCUGCUUCUGUCCUUGAAGGAUUUUCAAAACUGCAGCUACAUGAUUACCAUGGAAUCACCUCUUUUGUAGAUGACUUUCUGCACUGUGGAACCUGUUCUCUUCUCCAUACACAAAGUAAGGA